CUCUUUUUAAAAGUACUCAUUGGACCUUUAACUAGUGACCUACUGACCCAACAAGAAAGGGCAGAAUAAAGACAUCAUUUUUGGGGUGAAGCAGCAACAUGUUAUGUUGUUCAGCAUCAAUUGUCAGUGUAACAAGG
Suncus etruscus (white-toothed pygmy shrew) is the source of this 137-nucleotide small nucleolar RNA. The record is from RefSeq and is a predicted model, not a curated record. Lineage: Eukaryota; Metazoa; Chordata; Mammalia; Eulipotyphla; Soricidae.